RNAcentral lists this ribosomal RNA (512 nucleotides) under uncultured bacterium. Its description in RNAcentral is "bacterial SSU rRNA". It matches the Rfam family "Bacterial small subunit ribosomal RNA", at positions 28 to 526 of the family's 1533-position model. The record is from RNAcentral.
GACGAACGCUGGCGGCGUGCUUAACACAUGCAAGUGGAGCGACGAAGCGGACUUCGGUCCGUGGCAGAGCCGCGAACGGGUGAGUAACACGUGGGUAACCCACCCCGAUGACCGGGACAACCCGAGGAAACUCGAGCUAAUACCGGAUGUGCUCCAGACUCAUAAGGGACUGGAACAAAGAUAGCUUCGGCCUUCGCAUCGGGACGGGCCCGCGGCCCAUUAGCUUGUUGGUGAGGUAACGGCUCACCAAGGCGACGAUGGGUAGCUGGUCUGAGAGGACGAUCAGCCACACUGGGACUGAGACACGGCCCAGACUCCUACGGGAGGCAGCAGUGGGGAAUCUUGCGCAAUGCGCGAAAGCGUGACGCAGCAACGCCGCGUGGGGGAAGAAGGCCUUCGGGUUGUAAACCCCUUUCAGUUGGGACGAAGCUUCGAGGGUUAAUAGCCUUCUGGAGUGACGGUACCUUCACAAGAAGCCCCGGCUAACUACGUGCCAGCCGCCGCCGUAAUAC